CAAUAGCGUAUAUUAACGUUGUUGCAGUUAAAAAGCUCGUAGUUGGAUUUCUGGAGGGAGCGUCGGCCCGUAUUUACGAGUGCGUGACGUCUCUGUCCAUCCUUGCGGGAAGGCACGGCAUUGAUUUGUUGUGUCGGAUCGCAUCAUUUACUGUGAAAAAAUUAGAGUGUUCAAAGCAGGCUUUCGCUUGAAUACAUUAGCAUGGAAUAAUAAGAUAGGACUUUGGUGCUAUUUUGUUGGUUGAGCCUAAAGUAAUGAUUAAUAGGGAUAGUUGGGGGCACCUGUAUUGCGUUGUCAGAGGUGAAAUUCUUGGAUUUACGAAAGACAAACAGCUGCGAANGNGUCUGCNAAGGAUGUUUNCAUUA
RNAcentral lists this ribosomal RNA (365 nucleotides) under uncultured eukaryote. RNAcentral's name for it is "partial 18S ribosomal RNA". It matches the Rfam family "Eukaryotic small subunit ribosomal RNA", at positions 592 to 975 of the family's 1831-position model. The record is from RNAcentral.